Molecule: ribosomal RNA, 200 nt
Filed under: uncultured prokaryote
Description: partial 16S ribosomal RNA
Rfam family: Bacterial small subunit ribosomal RNA
Source: RNAcentral
GUCAAGUCAUCAUGGCCCUUAUGUCCAGGGCUACACACGUGCUACAAUGGAUGGUACAGAGCGGAGCAAAACCGCGAGGUACAAGCGAAUCGCUAAAAGCCAUCCGUAGUUCAGAUUGAAGUCUGAAACCCGACUUCAUGAAGUUGGAAUCGCUAGUAAUCGCGCAUCAGCAUGGCGCGGUGAAUACGUUCCCGGGCCUU